Molecule: ribosomal RNA, 486 nt
Rfam family: 5.8S ribosomal RNA (bases 126-279)
GUUGAAAAACUCCAACCCCUGUGAACUUACCUAUCUUGUUGCUUCGGCGGGAGGCUUCGGCCGCCCGCCGGAGGUUCCAAACUUUAUUUUUCAGUGUAUCUCUGAGCAAAAAACAAAAUAAUCAAAACUUUCAACAACGGAUCUCUUGGUUCUGGCAUCGAUGAAGAACGCAGCGAAAUGCGAUAAGUAAUGUGAAUUGCAGAAUUCAGUGAAUCAUCGAAUCUUUGAACGCACAUUGCGCCCGCCGGUAUUCCGGCGGGCAUGCCUGUUCGAGCGUCAUUUCACCACUCAAGCCCAGCUUGGUGUUGGGGCACCCGGCCGCCUGGCGGCCGGGGCCCCCAAGUAUAUCGGCGGUCUCGUCUAGACCCUGAGCGCAGUAACUCGCGGUAGAACGCGCUUCGUUCGGUGGUUCUGGCGGGCUACUUGCCGCUAAACCCCCUUUUUUCUAAGGUUGACCUCGGAUCAGGUAGGAAUACCCGCUGAACU